GCAGUCUCGCACAUCCCCCUCCUCGACUCCUCUCCCCGACCUCUCUCCUCUUUCUCCUAAUCUAGGCGGCUGGGUGUAUCCUUCCCGGCAGGGCCGCCGACCACGAUAUCGACCUUGACCAGCGGCCCCCCUCCCUCUUUCUCGAUCUCUAGCGGCAGCGCGCAUAGCAAAACAGCGGCAUCCUCUCUGUUGAUUUCCAUACCACGACGGUGUGCUCGGAGCCGUCCUUUAAGGUGGAACGCAACCACCGCCGUCGUCCAGCCCUCAAGGAAGACCCUAUGCCGCCGCCACUGGCCUUAUGGCUCUGGAGCCCCUCGCUGGUGCACAAGCAGGACAAACAUGCCAUAAGCAUAAGGGAUUUGGGGGACUUGGGGCACUUAUCUGCAGGUCAUGAUACCCUCUCCUCUGGAUGUUGAUGUCAAACCCUCCACCAAGUUUUCUUGUGUAGAAGCAACCAACUAGAAAAGGCAGGAAGGGUGUCUUAAUGUUCAUGUUUUGGUGCUGCAUACAAGAAGUUGCCUGCUCUGAGUUUUAUUUCAUGAAGCAUACUUCAAUCUUUGAUACAAGUGGAAGAUGGUGUUAUCGUCAGCCAGUAUUGGUUGUUGCUGCAGGAUUACAUUAACUAUUUUUUGCCAAGAUUGUUGUGUCAUCCGAGCAUUUUUCUCUGUACGGGUAUUCCUCUUGAAAUCUCCCAAAUAAAAUUCCUUCAAGUUUCUUUCAUAGAUUCAUAUAUUAUUAUUGCUAAACUUAUAUCAUGGAAAAGUUUAUAUUCAUCAUAUUGUUUGUAGAAUUCUCACAGCUCUAUGUGUUUGACUGUUUGUCCUUUUUGUUACAUCCCAUUAGGCAUGAAAUAAGUUCCAUUGUUUUUUACUUCAGAACUGUCUUGCCUUGUUGUAUCUGUGUGUCGCUAGACCUCCUCUCCCACUAUGCAUGUGUGUUGCUUUGGGAAUCAUUGCAAAAGAGAUUACAAUGUAAUUUUGCUAGAUUUUUUAAUGACUUCACUUUGUUUGAAUGUGGGACCUAAUAGGCGACACAUGUAAUAGUAUUUUGACUUAUCCACUUUUAGUGUAGGAGGCCUAAGCGAGCUCGGAGAAAACUUUUGAGCAAUCUACAUGACAGAUCAUAAAUCGGUUACAUGUAUAAUUUUUGAUGUUAUAGAUCUGAAAGCAAUCAGCUUUUAUAUAUUGUUACUCUAAAUCUCUAGGUAUCUAUUACUUUAUUUAAUUCUAAUUUCUACUUCAAUGAUUCCUUGCAUGUUAUAAAUCAGAAAUCUUCUAUGUGUACCAUAUAUUGAGUUUCAGAUGGAUGCUAAGACGAUAGCACUGGAGCACCAACUUAGUUCCAGUGUAUGUACAUGAUUCUGUAGUCCCUCGGCCGGAAACAUUUAGUACUUGCCUUUUUUGUAUUUUCUAAUUUUUUUAUUUCCUUAUUCUACAGAUGGCUGAUUAAGUGCCUGAAAGAAAACCAAUUGCGAUAUAUACUGGAGUUAGCAAAAAAUCAAGAACAAUAUACUAGAAAUAUAUACUAGAGUGUAUGAACAUCUUAAAUCUGUUGCAAUAUAUGUCAGCAUCCAAAUUUUAUUUUUGCACAUCCCGUAGAAUAUCUUUCUCUAAAUCGGCCCAUUUUCAAUUAUGAGCAGCAAUAGUACUACAUCAACAUUAUAACUUAGGUACGAUUGUUUUUGCUUUCUAAUUCAUGAGUGUCUCUGCUAUUAGUGGAGUACAGACUCAGUAUCUAAUUUUUAACAUGUGAUGCCAUGGAAACUAUGUGGUGAACAUGACUGAACAUUAUAAACUUGCCUCAAGAACACAAAAGUCCAUUCCACUUAUUCGCUGGUCCUCAUAAAUACUCAUGUUGCUUAUUACAGUUCUGAGGUAUGCCAAAAAAUUAAGACGGGUUUAAGUGUAUUUCUUUAGAAUCUCUAACCCUUAGUAUUAAAAUUUCAAGAGAUAAAACAAUCCUAAUAAUAGCUCUAGCCAGGUUUAAUUUAGGACAUUAUUUUUGGUUGUUGAACAGGGUUUCACUGCCCUGUCAGUGAUAGUUCAAACUUGAGAUAGCUCUGUACCAGAUGAAAAGAAGUAACACAACAAGCAAGGGUGCCAAUGAGGCUAUAGACUCUUAUUGCUCAGACUUAUUCAACAGAAUUGCAGAAAGUUUGGUUGUUGCCAGAUGAAGUUGUUGAAGAGGAUUCAAGUUUCAUUUAAAUAAAAAAAUUGAUCGACUCUUUGCUGUAAUUAAUUUCAGUACAAAUGCAUAACAAGUAAUCAUAAUCUAACUUGAGCAGCUCAAGGAUACACUGGUUUCAUUCUAGGUGUGCUGGCAUAUUACGCAUCUUCGCAUUUAUUCCAGUUCACUUUGGUUCUAAUACUCUUUGUCUUUUUUCUUACACAGAUGUUACUUGCUAUAUCAGUUAUGUUGUCACGCGACGAUGUGGUUGCUGAUUGGAUGACAUUUCAGUUUGGAUCUUAUUUAAUUCAUGCAAGUGUAGCAACACCCUUUUCCAUGCUGUUUUUUUGUAAGACUUUUCAUUAUUGAAUGGGAUUGCCGAUCUAUCACUUUCCUACAGCCUGGUUUCUCUUCAAAACUGAAUUACUAUAUGAUUAGUACAUAUUUGUAAUUCUGUAUUAUGUAGGAUAUUGUUAUUUGAUAUUCUAUAGCUAAUUAUCCUUGUUAGCACUCUUAUCACUUGAAUGUGAUGAACUCCAUGAGAAAUAGCCAGGUGCAUUAGGCUCACCUAAGUCUUCUUUGUUUCCGAACAUGGUGGCCCUUUAGUACAGGUUUGAAGAUUCGGGUAAUGCACCAUGUAAACAAUCUACUUAUUGGUCUGAAUAUUUUUAUUUUAGGAGUA
Long non-coding RNA from Triticum aestivum (bread wheat), 2848 nucleotides. RefSeq lists it as uncharacterized. The record is from RefSeq and is a predicted model, not a curated record. Lineage: Eukaryota; Viridiplantae; Streptophyta; Magnoliopsida; Poales; Poaceae. The transcript has 2 exons.